This 279-nucleotide ribosomal RNA is filed under the name Enterobacter cloacae. RNAcentral's name for it is "partial 23S ribosomal RNA". It matches the Rfam family "Bacterial large subunit ribosomal RNA", at positions 1397 to 1675 of the family's 2925-position model. The record is from RNAcentral. Lineage: Bacteria; Pseudomonadati; Pseudomonadota; Gammaproteobacteria; Enterobacterales; Enterobacteriaceae.
CGAGGCCGAAAGGCGUAGUCGAUGGGAAACAGGUUAAUAUUCCUGUACUUGGUGUUACUGCGAAGGGGGGACGGAGAAGGCUAUGUUAGCCGGGCGACGGUUGUCCCGGUUUAAGCAUGUAGGCGGAGGUUCCAGGUAAAUCCGGUACCUUAUUAACGCUGAGGUGUGAUGACGAGGCACUACGGUGCUGAAGUAACAAAUGCCCUGCUUCCAGGAAAAGCCUCUAAGCAUCAGGUAACAUCAAAUCGUACCCCAAACCGACACAGGUGGUCAGGUAGA